This is a non-coding RNA of Camellia sinensis, 807 nucleotides long. Lineage: Eukaryota; Viridiplantae; Streptophyta; Magnoliopsida; Ericales; Theaceae. The record is from RefSeq and is a predicted model, not a curated record.
AUCUCACCACACUUAUAUUUCAGUCCUCUUCUUCGAUACACUAUCUCUCUCUCUCUCUCUCUCCCCCAGAACCCUACCCUACCCAUAUUACCGACGGCGACGACGAUCGAGAGACGAUCUACACUGAAAUAGCCAUCGGCGAUCGACGAUCGUGGUGUGGUGUUUGUUAUAGUUCUAAAGUGAAACCAAACCAGUGGAAGAGAGGUUACAGUGUGAAGAAGGUUACAAAGAGGAAAAAAAAAUGUUGUUCCAUGUUCCAUGACUCUUGAGGUUAGAGCCUGCCACACACUGUUUGUUCCAUGACUCUUGGACUUAGGCUCUUAAGUACAAAAACAUCCUUUUAAAGGCUUGCCACACAUUAUUUGUUUGUGUUUAUUUAGGACACACACUGAGCAGGUUGUGCCCACCUAUGUGCAAUGCACACACUAUUUGUUUGUCUUUAGCAAAUUAGCACACACAGCACACACUAGCAGAUUGAUCAACCAUAGUGUUUGUUUGUUUUUGUUAAAGAGACAGCCACCAAGAAGAUGAAAACACAGCCAAACAGGACCCUCAACAGCCUCCUUGUCACCAAUUAGAGGGCUGUUUGCUUUGAAUGGCAAACUAGUUUGUGUUCAUAUGCAUAUAGAUUUGUUGUGUAUAUACUGAACAGAGAUUUAUUUUUGUUUUUUGUUCAAAGCCCUAUGAUUGGUUUGGUAGUCUAUAAGUAAGUAUUAGUUUGUUCACCUGAAAGGGUUCUUGCUUCUUGUAGCUGAAUGGUAGUAUUUAUUUAUUUAUUAUUUUGGAAAGGCCAUUCAUGAUGAAAAA